Molecule: ribosomal RNA, 520 nt
Filed under: uncultured bacterium
Lineage: Bacteria
Description: bacterial SSU rRNA
Rfam family: Bacterial small subunit ribosomal RNA
Source: RNAcentral
UGGGGAAUAUUGGACAAUGGGCGCAAGCCUGAUCCAGCCAUGCCGCGUGAGUGAUGACGGCCUUAGGGUUGUAAAGCUCUUUCGCUCGGGACGAUAAUGACGGUACCGAGAUAAGAAGCCCCGGCUAACUUCGUGCCAGCAGCCGCGGUAAUACGAAGGGGGCUAGCGUUGUUCGGAAUUACUGGGCGUAAAGCGCGUGUAGGCGGGUCUUUAAGUCAGGGGUGAAAUGCCAAGGCUCAACCUUGGAACUGCCUUUGAUACUGGAGAUCUUGAGUCCGGGAGAGGUGAGUGGAAUUGCGAGUGUAGAGGUGAAAUUCGUAGAUAUUCGCAAGAACACCAGUGGCGAAGGCGGCUCACUGGCCCGGAACUGACGCUGAGACGCGAAAGCGUGGGGAGCAAACAGGAUUAGAUACCCUGGUAGUCCACGCCGUAAACGAUGGAUGCUAGCCGUUAGACAGCUUGCUGUUUAGUGGCGCAGUUAACGCGUUAAGCACGCCGCCUGGGGAGUACGGUCGCAAGA